Molecule: ribosomal RNA, 1322 nt
Filed under: Klebsiella pneumoniae
Lineage: Bacteria; Pseudomonadati; Pseudomonadota; Gammaproteobacteria; Enterobacterales; Enterobacteriaceae
Description: bacterial SSU rRNA
Rfam family: Bacterial small subunit ribosomal RNA
Source: RNAcentral
GGGAGGGGCAGAUCAGGUCCUAACGCAUGCAGCUCCAGGCCUAACACAUGCGAGUCCAGGCCUAACACAUGCCAGUCCAGGCCUAACACAUGUCGGUCCCUAACCUAGCACAUGCCAGUCCGACCCAAGUGGGGGACCUUCCGGCCUCAUGCCAUCACAUGUGCCCAGAUGGGAUUAGCUAGUAGGUGGGGUAACGGCUCACCUAGGCGACGAUCCCUAGCUGGUCUGAGAGGAUGACCAGCCACACUGGAACUGAGACACGGUCCAGACUCCUACGGGAGGCAGCAGUGGGGAAUAUUGCACAAUGGGCGCAAGCCUGAUGCAGCCAUGCCGCGUGUGUGAAGAAGGCCUUCGGGUUGUAAAGCACUUUCAGCGGGGAGGAAGGCGAUGAGGUUAAUAACCUUGUCGAUUGACGUUUACCCGGCCAGAAAGANGCCACNGGCCUAACUUCCGUGCCAGCAGCCGCGGUAAUACGGAAGGNUGCAAGCGUNAAUCGGAAUUACUGGGCGUAAAGCGCACGCAGGCGGUCUGUCAAGUCGGAUGUGAAAUCCCCCGGGCUCAACCUGGGAACUGCAUUCGAAACUGGCAGGCUAGAGUCUUGUAGAGGGGGGUAGAAUUCCAGGUGUAGCGGUNAAAUGCGUAGAGAUCUGGAGGAAUACCGGUGGCGAAGGCNNCCCCCUGNACAAAGACUGACGCUCCNGGUGCGAAAAGCGUGGGGANCAAACNGGAUUAGAUACCCUGGUAGUCCACGCCGUAAACGAUGUCGAUUUGGAGGUUGUGCCCUUGAGGCGUGGCUUCCGGAGCUAACGCGUUAAAUCGACCGCCUGGGGAGUACGGCCGCAAGGUUAAAACUCAAAUGAAUUGACGGGGGCCCGCACAAGCGGUGGAGCAUGUGGUUUAAUUCGAUGCAACGCGAAGAACCUUACCUGGUCUUGACAUCCACAGAACUUUCCAGAGAUGGAUUGGUGCCUUCGGGAACUGUGAGACAGGUGCUGCAUGGCUGUCGUCAGCUCGUGUUGUGAAAUGUUGGGUUAAGUCCCGCAACGAGCGCAACCCUUAUCCUUUGUUGCCAGCGGUUCGGCCGGGAACUCAAAGGAGACUGCCAGUGAUAAACUGGAGGAAGGUGGGGAUGACGUCAAGUCAUCAUGGCCCUUACGACCAGGGCUACACACGUGCUACAAUGGCAUAUACAAAGAGAAGCGACCUCGCGAGAGCAAGCGGACCUCAUAAAGUAUGUCGUAGUCCGGAUUGGAGUCUGCAACUCGACUCCAUGAAGUCGGACUCGCUAGUAAUCAGUAGAUUCAGAACGGUCACGGGUGUGG